RNAcentral lists this ribosomal RNA (279 nucleotides) under uncultured bacterium. RNAcentral's name for it is "partial 16S ribosomal RNA". It matches the Rfam family "Bacterial small subunit ribosomal RNA", at positions 506 to 784 of the family's 1533-position model. The record is from RNAcentral.
UGCCAGCAGCCGCGGUAAUACGGGGGGUGCAAGCGUUGUCCGGAAUCAUUGGGCGUAAAGGGUUCGUAGGUGGAAUUGUAAGUCUGGUGUGAAAGCCCCGGGCUCAACCUGGGAACUGCAUUCCAAACUGACAGACUAGAGUACGAUAGAGGGGGGUAGAAUUCCGAGUGUAGGGGUGAAAUCCGUAGAUAUUCGGAGGAACACCAGUGGCGAAGGCGGCUUUCCGGACCGAUACUGACGCUGAGACGCGAAAGCGUGGGGAGCAAACAGGAUUAGAUA